This 253-nucleotide ribosomal RNA is filed under the name uncultured bacterium. Its description in RNAcentral is "partial 16S ribosomal RNA". It matches the Rfam family "Bacterial small subunit ribosomal RNA", at positions 524 to 776 of the family's 1533-position model. The record is from RNAcentral.
GACGAACCGCCCAAACGUUGUUCGGAAUCACUGGGCUUAAAGGGCGCGUAGGCGGCAUUCCAAGUCAGGGGUGAAAUCCGGCAGCUCAACUGUCGAAGUGCCUUUGAUACUGGAGUGCUCGAGGGAGGUAGGGGUCUGUGGAACUUCUGGUGGAGCGGUGAAAUGCGUUGAUAUCAGAAGGAACGCCGGUGGCGAAAGCGACGGACUGGACCUUUUCUGACGCUGAGGCGCGAAAGCUAGGGGAGCAAACGGG